RNAcentral lists this ribosomal RNA (474 nucleotides) under Gordonia sp. (in: high G+C Gram-positive bacteria). RNAcentral's name for it is "bacterial SSU rRNA". It matches the Rfam family "Bacterial small subunit ribosomal RNA", at positions 81 to 569 of the family's 1533-position model. Lineage: Bacteria; Bacillati; Actinomycetota; Actinomycetes; Mycobacteriales; Gordoniaceae. The record is from RNAcentral.
UUGCGGGUACUCGAGUGGCGAACGGGUGAGUAACACGUGGGUGAUCUGCCCUGGACUCUGGGAUAAGCCUGGGAAACUGGGUCUAAUACCGGAUAUGACCUUACAUCGCAUGGUGUUUGGUGGAAAGCUUUUGCGGUUCAGGAUGGGCCCGCGGCCUAUCAGCUUGUUGGUGGGGUAAUGGCCUACCAAGGCGACGACGGGUAGCCGACCUGAGAGGGUGAUCGGCCACACUGGGACUGAGACACGGCCCACACUCCUACGGGAGGCAGCAGUGGGGAAUAUUGCACAAUGGGCGCAAGCCUGAUGCAGCGACGCCGCGUGAGGGAUGACGGCCUUCGGGUUGUAAACCUCUUUCACCAGGGACGAAGCGCAAGUGACGGUACCUGGAGAAGAAGCACCGGCCAACUACGUGCCAGCAGCCGCGGUAAUACGUAGGGUGCGAGCGUUGUCCGGAAUUACUGGGCGUAAAGAGCU